Molecule: RNA transcript, 1419 nt
Organism: Bradysia coprophila
Lineage: Eukaryota; Metazoa; Arthropoda; Insecta; Diptera; Sciaridae
Gene name: troponin C, isoallergen Bla g 6.0101-like
Source: RefSeq, a predicted model, not a curated record
GCUUUGUUAGAGUGCUCUUUACGGUCACUAGAAUCAUUCCACUAUCUUUCGAAAUUAUCAUAUUGAAUCACAUCAACUUUCACAACAAUCAACACCGGUGUUGCUGAUAAGCUUUAAGGUUUGUGCAAAAUGUCUUAGUCUCAUUGAACGUUGAACAUUUCCGUUAACACAAUUUUCGUCUUCAAACCUGAACACGUAAUUUGUAAUUCGUACCGGCUAAGGACAGCCAGAGCACUUCACACGAAAAUGUUGUUUUCCGAAGGAUUUUUCACAUUCAUUUGGAUAUUUUCAACCUGGACAUGUACCGCACUUAGCCAAAUUUGUCAUCAAUCAGAUUAGUUUUAAUUUACAUCUAAAUCGAACCUGUAGUACGCAACGCAUAUACAAAUAAAUGAAUUAAAUACCACAUCGAUCGCCAAGUCAGGUCUAUAAUUAUUUGCACCUCGUGCGGCAAUUUGAUAACAAGUCGGUACUUACUGCUCGAUGCAAUACAUUCAAAAACGAUAUUUCAUGUUACAUUCUGGUGGAUCGAAAUUGUCGGUUGAUCGAAAAAUUAUAGCACAGUUUCCAAAGUACUAUCGGUUGUGCAGAACGUUUCAAAUAAAACCGAGAAAUCGUAACAGUGAAAUCAACUUGUAAACCGAUUAAAGUGAAAAGAAAUUUGUACAAAAAAAAACGUUGUGUGGUUUGAGUGGUAAAUAUGGUGCAAUUUUCCGAGCUCGACAAGGAAACCGUUCGAAUUCUAAAAAAUGCAUUCCUUGCCUUCGAAUACGAAAAAACUGGAACGGUUUUAACGGAAGACAUUGGUACAAUUGUCGAAAUGCUGGGACAUCGGCUAGACGAUAAAUCGUUGAAGCAAGCUAUCAAAGAAGCAGAUCCAGCUGGUGUAGGGAAAUUAGAGUUUGAACCAUUUGCUUGCUUUGCAUCGAAAUAUGUGGAAGUUGAAGAGGAUGCCGAAGCUGUGGCGAAAGAAUUGAGGGAGGCCUUCUUACUAUAUGAUAGAGAUGCUAAAGGCUACAUAACCGUUGAAGUAUUGAGACAAAUUCUGCACGAAAUUGAUGACAAAAUAACGCCCGGUGAUUUAGAUUUAAUGAUUGAAGAAAUCGAUGCUGACGGUUCAGGAACAGUUGACUUUGAAGAAUUCAUGGAAGUGAUGACAGGACCCCUAUGAGAGACGACGGAACAAAAUGACUCUUCGAUCCUCUUGUCCAUUACCAGUAUAUGAUUCAAACAUAAUUUUUGUUCUAAACGAAUUUGUUGAUCAACGUAAAUGACCGUGAACAACGAGACCAUUAUCACCAAGAUAUUCUUAUUUCAAUAAAAUUUUAUAUAAAAAAAAAUCAACAAAAAUGUUUAAAUGUAAAAUCGUGUUAAGAAUUGAAUUAAAUUAGAAAUUUUGUAAGUUUCAUUUAUCUACUA